UACGGAGGGUGCAAGCAUUAAUCGGAUUUAUUGGGCGUAAAGGGCGCGUAGGCGGGUUUGUAAGUCAGAUGUGAAAUUCCGGAGCUCAACUUCGGAGCUGCAUUUGAAACUGCAAGUCUAGAGGAGUGGCGGAGAAAAUGGAAUUCCACGUGUAGCGGUGAAAUGCGUAGAUAUGUGGAAGAACACCAGUGGCGAAAGCGGUUUUCUAGCUUAUUCCUGACGCUGAGGCGCGAGAGCAAGGGGAGCAAACAGG
This 253-nucleotide ribosomal RNA is filed under the name uncultured bacterium. Its description in RNAcentral is "partial 16S ribosomal RNA". It matches the Rfam family "Bacterial small subunit ribosomal RNA", at positions 524 to 776 of the family's 1533-position model. The record is from RNAcentral. RNAcentral also lists the same sequence under 1 other name.